Triticum dicoccoides is the source of this 709-nucleotide long non-coding RNA. RefSeq lists it as uncharacterized. The record is from RefSeq and is a predicted model, not a curated record. The transcript has 2 exons. NCBI's taxonomy places the organism in Eukaryota, Viridiplantae, Streptophyta, Magnoliopsida, Poales, Poaceae.
UCUGGUCGAGCUCGCCGGGGACGCCGCAGCUCGCCGCUGCAACGCCAACCAUAGGAAUGGGCGGGAUCCACCAGCCCUCCGUCCGGCUCGACGUCCACGCCCCAGGGUCCAACAUGCAGGCCUGCAGUGCAGGACGCCGCCGUGAGUCACCUCAUUUUUCCGCAAACUUUUGGACCGAGGCCGCCUUCCUCUGUUCCGUCAGCUGCCGUUGCAACGCCACCGCGGUCGUCCUCCUCCCCGAGUAACUCCAGGAACCAUGACGGGCUCCGCGUCUCCUCUGGACCAAGGAUUCGAAGCCACAAGUCUCUCCUACUUCUUCCUCGACACUGACUGCCAUUGCUGCCGUCCUGAAUUUGCUGUCAUUGGUCCCCGUGCCAUCGGGCAUCGCCAACAGCAGGGUGAGAAGCUGCCACUGCCUUCUUGUGCCUUCUUUUCUUUGUCAGCGUCAUUUCUCUCAUUCUAGCCGUUGCUGGAGAUGGUUGUGGCGCUGCCACCUGAGACCAUUUUGGUCCAGGCCACAUGGUUAGGCCACGAGCUUGUUGCUGCUUACUGCUGUUUGAUGCUGCUACUUCUGUUGUUUGUUGUUUGUUGGCUGCUCGCUAUUGCUCUGCUUGCUGCUGCUCGUGGGCUGCCUGUACUUCAGAGAAAGAGAGAGUUUUUUGCUAUACAGAGUACUAUAUUAUGUUGAACCCUACUGUUCAUCAAUCCA